This 497-nucleotide ribosomal RNA is filed under the name uncultured bacterium. RNAcentral's name for it is "partial 16S ribosomal RNA". It matches the Rfam family "Bacterial small subunit ribosomal RNA", at positions 28 to 507 of the family's 1533-position model. The record is from RNAcentral.
GAUGAACGCUGGCGGCGUGCCUAAUACAUGCAAGUCGAGCGAACAGACGAGGAGCUUGCUCCUCUGACGUUAGCGGCGGACGGGUGAGUAACACGUGGAUAACCUACCUAUAAGACUGGGAUAACUUCGGGAAACCGGAGCUACUACCGGAUAAUAUAUUGAACCGCAGGGUUCAAUAGUGAAAGACGGUUUUGCUGUCACUUAUCGAUGGAUCCGCGCCGCAUUAGCUAGUUGGUAAGGUAACGGCUUACCAAGGCAACGAUGCGUAGCCGGCCUGAGAGGAUGAUCAGCCACACUGGAACUGAGACACGGUCCAGACUCCUACGGGAGGCAGCAGUAGGGAAUCUUCCGCAAUGGGCGAAAGCCUGACGGAGCAACGCCGCGUGAGUGAUGAAGGUCUUCGGAUCGUAAAGCUCUGUUAUUAGGGAAGAACAAAUGUGUAAGUAACUAUGCAUGUCUUGACGGUACCUAAUCAGAAAGCCACGGCUAACUACGUG